CAGGUGGUAUGGGUAAGUCUGUCAUUAAAUGCCUGUGCUCAACAUAGGCGCUGUGAUGGAAACUAUCAUACUAGAGGAAAGGAGAGGUAUGCGGAAUAGUGCAAGUAGGGGUAAAAUCCGUAGAUAUGCACUGGAACACCAAAAGCGAAGGCAGCAUACUGGCCUUUUCCUGACACUCAGGGACGAAAGCGUGGGGAGCAAAACGGAUUAGAUACCCGUGUAGUCCACGCCGUAAACGAUGCAUGCUCGGUGUGGGGACCCUCGACCUGGUCCCCGUGCCCAAGGUAACCCGUUAAGCAUGCCGCCUGUGUAGUACGGCCGCAAGGCUAAAACACAAAGGAAUAGACGGGGGCCCACACAAGCGGUGGAUCGUGGGGUUUAAUUCGAUAAUAAGCGAGUAACCUUACCUAGACUUGACAUCCCUAUCAUACCCCUCAGAGAUGAGGGGGUCGGUUCGGCCGGAUAGGUGACAGGCGCUGCAUGGUUGUCGUCAGCUCGUGCCUUGAGGUGUUCGGUUAAGUCCGUUAACGAGCGCAACCCUGGUCGUGUGUUGUAUUUUCACGCGAGACUGCCGGUUUUAAGCCGGAGGAAGGUCAGGAUGACGUCAAAUCAGCAUGGCCCUUAUGUCUAGGGCUACACCCGCGAUACAAUGGCUGGUACAAACCGAAGCAAUACAGCGAUGUGGAGCCAAUCGGAACAACACCAGUCUCAGUUCGGAUUGCAGUCUGAAACUCGACUGCAUGAAGCCGGAAUCGCUAGUAAACGUAUAUCAGUCACGGUACGUUGAAUAUGUUCCUGGGCCUUGUACUCACCGCCCGUCAAGGCAUGGAAGUUGGGAGCACCAGAAG
Molecule: ribosomal RNA, 848 nt
Filed under: uncultured organism
Description: bacterial SSU rRNA
Rfam family: Bacterial small subunit ribosomal RNA
Source: RNAcentral